RNAcentral lists this ribosomal RNA (253 nucleotides) under uncultured bacterium. RNAcentral's name for it is "partial 16S ribosomal RNA". It matches the Rfam family "Bacterial small subunit ribosomal RNA", at positions 524 to 776 of the family's 1533-position model. The record is from RNAcentral.
UACGUAGGGUGCAAGCGUUGUCCGGAAUUAUUGGGCGUAAAGAGCUCGUAGGCGGUUUGUUGCGUCGGCUGUGAAAUCCCGAGGCUCAACCUCGGGUCUGCAGUCGAUACGAGCAAACUAGAGUGUUGCAGGGGAGACUGGAAUUCCUGGUGUAGCGGUGAAAUGCGCAGAUAUCAGGAGGAACACCGGUGGCGGAGGCGGGUCUCUGGGCAACAACUGACGCUGAGGAGCGAAAGCGUGGGGAGCAAACAGG